CAGGGAGACAACAAAAUGUUUAAUAUUAUUAUUUUGUCACCUUAGGUCGAUCGGUAUCUCACGUUUUUAAUUUAUUAAGAAUUUCAUUUCCUAAGUUUUUCUAGGUCACACCCAUUAUUUUUCCUGGGCCAUUAGCUCAGGUGGUUAGAGCGCACCCCUGAUAAGGGUGAGGUCCCUGGUUCAAGUCCAGGAUGGCCCAUAUCUCUAUGUUGGGGGUAUAGCUCAGUUGGUAGAGCGCUGCUUUGCAAGCAGGAUGUCAGCGGUUCGAGUCCGCUUACCUCCACUGAUUACACCUCUUCCAUAACCGGUAGAAAAGGAAAUGUUUUUGAGUGUGAUCAUUCUUGAAGAAUCCUACCUUCCUAAUGAAAUCAUUAAGAUGCUGGACUCAUUGAAUUAAUUUCAUUGUUUUCAGAGAACCUUGACAACUGCAUAGAUUAUUUUUAAAGACAAUAAGCAUCUUUAAUGAUGCAGACUUAUUAUUUGUGCGAAUGCAUUAAUAACAAUUCUAUUAAGCUGAUGCUUCAA
RNAcentral lists this transfer RNA (525 nucleotides) under uncultured Prochlorococcus sp. RNAcentral describes it as "partial 16S-23S ribosomal RNA intergenic spacer". The stretch from base 126 to 199 matches the Rfam family "tRNA". Lineage: Bacteria; Bacillati; Cyanobacteriota; Cyanophyceae; Synechococcales; Prochlorococcaceae. The record is from RNAcentral.